This is a non-coding RNA of Chelonoidis abingdonii (Abingdon island giant tortoise), 103 nucleotides long. The record is from RefSeq and is a predicted model, not a curated record. NCBI's taxonomy places the organism in Eukaryota, Metazoa, Chordata, Testudines, Testudinidae.
GGUGUCCCCUCACUCAGCGUUGAAGCAUUAUGUCUGCGGCUCUGCCCUGAACUAUCCGUUUGAUUCUUUGGUUUUCUGGUACGCUUGUCUGAGCUCCUUAACU